AUUGCGCAAAAGCAGGAAGCUGAUGAAUUUAUAAUUGGGCUUCCGAAAUCGAGUGAUGGGAAGGAGACGCCUCAGUCUAACAAAGUUCGAAGUGUUGCCGGCAGGCUUGCUGUUCGAGCUGCUCAUAGGGGCUGGAGAGUAUACCUGCUGGAUGAACACGGGACGACAAGAGAGGCUGUUGACCGAAUGAUUUGCAUG
Molecule: long non-coding RNA, 198 nt
Organism: Morus notabilis
Lineage: Eukaryota; Viridiplantae; Streptophyta; Magnoliopsida; Rosales; Moraceae
Exons: 3
Source: RefSeq, a predicted model, not a curated record